RNAcentral lists this ribosomal RNA (1179 nucleotides) under Triticum aestivum (bread wheat). RNAcentral's name for it is "partial small subunit ribosomal RNA". Lineage: Eukaryota; Viridiplantae; Streptophyta; Magnoliopsida; Poales; Poaceae. The record is from RNAcentral.
AUGAUGAGUGGUAGGUUGUUUGGUACGGGUGCUGAGUAUGGUGGUUUUGCUCUGUUCUUGGUUGAGCUUCUUGGUCUUCUGGGUGUGUUGAUUGCGCCAUACUACACAGUGUUUCACGACCUGUGUUCCAUGAGGUACUUAGUCACGGUGCACAUUCCUGAGAGCUUAGAUGUCCCUUCUAGGUUCAGUGUUACACGUUACGACUUUGUUUCAGCACUCCAGGGUGCGUCACGGGAUGCCGCUUUACACCUUUUCCACGCCUAUCACCCUCUCCUUGAGUACGUGGGCAGAGGCGAGUGGCCUCAUCAGUUAGAGGAGGCAGGGAGUUCGUCUGCACCUCCGCCCACUGUCGCUCCUGCGCCUUUUGCGUCCACUUCUGCUUUCCCUCCACUUCCACCACAUCCUGCUGUCUUACCUCCCACAUUUUUACCACCACCAGCUACGACUGCCGCUCGUCCACCUCUGUACCCGACGGUCCCACCCACUCGUGCAGACCGCCCAGCUCCUAGAAUCUUCAGGGGUUCCUCCUCUCGAGCAGUGUCACGUCCCUCCACACCGUACGAGCGUCCACCUACACCUCAGCUUGUUCAGGACCUGUUAGAUCGGGUUGACACUCUUCAGAGGCGCUGCUCCGAGCUCGAGCGGGCGAACAGCGAGAUGUCCUCCACGUUGAGGGACUACACCCGUCCGGGUAUGGCCCUCAACCCUUUUCAGAUCGAUAGCUCACCUUCUGCCUCUCCAGGUCGGAUAGGGUACCCGAUUGACCAGGAGUCUCUUGUCGCCGACGAGCCUUCCUCUCAGGUUGCUCAUACUCUGAGUUCCGUUGUAGUUCCACCACCUCCAGAGCACACUCCCCACACUCCACCAGGUUCUCCACUCUCCGCCCCUGCUCCACCUUCUCCUGAUGGCACCCCCGAGUUUUCCGUGAUCAGCGUCACUUACUCAGAGCUUCUAGCACUUGACUCCCGACAGGUGUCUUCUCAGCCCCCGGAGUACCUUCGUGUCGCUUUUGACGUCACUCCCUCUGAGCACACUCCUUCUGAGUAUCCUCUUAGCACCAUCAGCGUGCCCGAGUCUGACGCUGCUGCACCGAGUGUGUCUCUGCCUGCACCGACUUCUGCCCUCGACCCCGACUUGCUCCUCACCGUUUCACCUAGUCCUCUUGUUAGGGAGGAUUGA